Molecule: long non-coding RNA, 42911 nt
Filed under: Citrus maxima (pomelo)
Lineage: Eukaryota; Viridiplantae; Streptophyta; Magnoliopsida; Sapindales; Rutaceae
Description: long non-coding RNA (CMAX_LNC001373)
Source: RNAcentral
UAAUCAAGGGGCCAUAGCUCUUGCUAAUAACCUAAUGUAUCAUGCCAAGACUAAGCAUGUUGAAUUGGAUAUUCAUUUUGUUAGAGAGGAGGUGUCAGCUAAGCAACUUGAUAUAUGUUAUAUUCCUAGUGUUGAUCGAACUGCAGACAUUUUCACUAAAGCUCUUCCUUAUAGUCAUUUUCAUUAUCUUAGAUGCAAAUUUAAUGUUCUUCCUGGAACAUUUCGCUUGAGGGGGGAUGUUAGAGUAUCUGAUGAUGCUGAUGAUAUUGUACGGUGAUGAUGAACUAAUGAUGCUAUGUAGUGGUGAUGAUGUGGUAUUAUGCAGAGCUCAUAGAGUAUGAUAGAAGAAGGGCUUGUUUGGUUGUUGUAUUAAAGCCCCUCAUUGUAUUAAUUUUAAACAAGUCCAUGUUUGGCAAAACAAAUGUUACAGUAACACCACAUUUUUUUUUUCUCCCUUUUUGCUUUUUGUUUUUGCAACUUGACUUUUGUUUUGCUUUUUGACUUUUGACUUUUGUUUUAUAAUAAUAAUAACUUUUAAUUUAAUAUAAUAUUAUAUAAAAAUUUUAUUUUUUAUUUUUACAUUAUAAUUAUUAAUAUAAAUUAAUAAAUAUGUAAUUUAUUAUUUAAUAUUAUUAUAUUAUAUUUUUUAUUUUUACAUUAUAAUUUAUUAAUAAAUUUAUUUAUUAUAACUAAUAAUAAAUAGUUAAAUAUGAAUAAAUUUAAAUAAUAUUACUUUAAAAUUAAUAAUAAUAUAAAAUAUUAAUAUAAUUUAAAUAUAUUAAUAUAAUAUAACAUAUCAAUAUAAUAUAGUAUUAUAUUUAUAUUUAAAUUAAUUACAAAAAAAUUAUUACAAUACAGUGUAGUACCAAACAUUGUAUAGUAUUAUUAUAAUACAGUGCUAAUGCAAUACAACAUAAUACAAUACAUCAGCAUUAAAAUAAUACAAUAUAGUAUAAUACAAUACAAUGUGUCAAACGCACCCGCACCCGAAGAUUCCAGCAUAAUCUAGCUAUUAGAUUCUUGUAUUAAAUUUGUAAUAUAAAUAGUGUGAUCUGUACACAUUAUGAUUACGAUAGCUUGAUUAAAUAAAAUACACUUUUCUUUCACUUUCCAUUUCAUUUUCCUUAUUACCAAACACCAAAUUAGAUGUAUUCAAUCAUUGCCAAAACUACACAGUAGACAUUGCCUUAUAUGUGCCAACAUUAUUGUUUUUCAUUAUCUGUAAAAUGAAAUAGAAAAUCCUUUGGGUAUAACUUUCAAAAGCCAAUUAAAGACGCUUACAACCAACCUUAGAUAUCACCUUUAGGCACUAAAAUUUCCCGAGCGAGCAAGCAAAUCCAUUAUUGAAAUUAUAAAUACCACCCUUAGGCACUUGUAUCUCUUUCAUACUACACCAACUUCUUGAAAUAAUGGAGAAAACAAGUCAACUUAAAUUGGCUGCUUGCUUUGUUGUUCUUAUGUUAAUUGCUUCUUCUGGUAAAUAUUCCAUGCCUUUAUCUCCUUCACUUAUUUUUAGAGUUUUAUGAGUUUUCCAUUCCAAAUACUUCUUGCAAAAAAAAAUAUAUAUUAUAAAAUUUUUAUUUCUUCUUCUAAAUAAUUUAUUCAUUCGACAUUUGGAAAGCAGUUGUUUAAUUCACGAAAUGCAUUAAAAGAAUUUGAUUUAGGUUUAAUUAUGCAAGGGAGCAGAAGCGAUAAAUAUUGGGGAUUGCAAAGAUGACAAAGAUUGCGACCAAUUUUGUAGUCCUCCCGGUUCUAGUAUAUGCAUGUUUGCAUUUUGUUACAAUCGUGGAGGAAUGCUUUGCGGAAAAAAUUUCUCUCCUGGUCAUCACUAGAAAAAGUGACGAUCAUUUAUAUUUGAUCAUAAUAUGUUGAACAUCGACAUUUAUUAAUAAUGAAUAAUCUGUUUUAUAUAUUUAUGGUUCAUCACGGAGAGGAUAUAUCUCUUUGAAGGCUAAAUCUAUGUUACAUGCAACGUAACAUACAUCCCAAAAUAUAAAAUAGCGCUAAGCACCCUUAAUUUUUAUGGAAACCACAUUAAUAGAAUUAAAAGAAUUACUUUUAAAUCUUAAAGAAGAAAUAAAAGAAAUAAAACAGGAAAUAGGGAAAAUAAAAAUAGAACUGUCAGUAAUACAAAAAGGGCAAAAGAAAAAUAAAAAAGUAGAGCGAUUUGAAAUGUUAAAAACAGGAAUUAUAGGAACAAGUUUUAAAAAACCUACACAGAAACCACAAACAGGUAGUUAUGACGCCUGGUUUAUGGAAACUCAAUACCCAAAAAUAUUAAAAGAAUCAGAAGAAUUAAAAGCAGAGAUAAACAAAAAAGAAAAAGGGAAAGAAAAAUUAGAAAUAAAAGAACAAACCCCAACUGAUUCAAACUCAGAGUAAUAAAAUAGAAGAUAUAUUAGAAAAUUAAACUGAAAAAUUCAGUGAUAUAAACCUUAGUGAUUUAGAAGAUUUUGAAAAAGAAUACCAAAUAAAAAUGAAUACAACAGGAGGACCAGAAAUGAAACCUAAUGUGGCAGAACCAAGUCAUUGAUAUACAACAUGUAAAAAGAAAAGUAGACCUUUUUAUGAAUAUAUACCUCAGGUUAAGAAUACACCUUGGAAAAAAGACUAUAAACCUAAUCAAGAUACAUUAAUCCCAAUAAGCAAUGCUGAAACAUUUUUUAAUUUAGAUUGUAAAAUAGACCCUCGCAAAAUGUUACCUGAAUGGGGAAUACAAAUGAAAUUAUUUUUCAUAUACAAUGGAGCUAAUGACGACUGGAAUGUAGAAACAGAAGAAGAAAAAAUAAACAUAUUUGUAGAUAUCCUAUUGGCUAGUUUUACAGGAAAUGUAUUUAACUGGUGGAGAGGAUUAAGUGAUGAUACACAGAGAUUAAUAAAAGAUUCAACUAAAAUAGCUUUCAGAAGAAGUAAAACAUUAGGCAUUGAAAGAAUAAUAGAAUAUAUUGCUAGUGAAUUUUUAGGAGAAGAUUGGCUAGAAAAUUCCGAAAAAGAAGCAAAUAAUGAGAAAUUAAAUGCUAGACUAAAACUAAUGAAUUUGACAAUUUGCAAUAUGUGUUAUGUAAAGGAAUACACUUGUGAAUUUAAUAAAUAUUAUUAUGAACAAUAUGUAAGUCUAGAAGACCAAGAAGUUUAUAAAAAUUUGUAUUAUUCUAAACUACCAUACCCAUGGAAUAGUUAUUUUAUUAACGAAUAUGAGAAAUACAGUUCUACAAAUAGACUCCCAGAUACAAUAGGAGCUAGGAUAAGAUUUUUAAAUACGAGACUUAGUGAUAUAUGUAUUCAAAGAAGUCUAAUAAAAAAGAGUAGAAAUAUAACAGAAAUAUGUUGUGAAAAAACAGAAAUGCCAACACAAUGGGGCUGUUAUAUACCUAAUAAGCGAAAAAAAGAAAAUCAUAUAGAAAAGAGAAAAAAUACAAAAAAAUAUAAUAAUUUUAAAAGAAAGUACAAAAAACCUGGAAGGAAAUAUUAUAAGAAAAAAUAUAAAAGCCAAAAAAGACAAUUAGAUAAAUCAAAAUGUAAAUGCUGGAAUUGUGGAGAGAUUGGACAUAUUAGUACAGACUGUACCAAAAACAAAAAAGUUAGAAUAUUACAAGAAGACUUUAAAACAAUACAAGACGAGUUAGAAGAAAUAAGCAAUAUAUCUGAUUAUGAAGGAGCAGAAAUUUAUAUGGUAGAAAAUUCUGAAAAUGAGUCAGAAUAGACAAGACUUAGUAGAAAAGGAAGAAGAUAUAGAAGAAAUUGAGGAAAUGGAAAGACAAGAAAAUAAAAGUGGAUAUAGUCUUGUAGCUACCUUUAAUAAAGAAAAAUAUAAUAAACUCUUAAAAUUGAAUGUAGAAAAACCAGAAUACGGAAUACUACAAAAACUAAGGGAUAUGUUUGAAAGAAAAAGAAUAGUACUACAUGAAUAUUAUGAACAAGAAAAAGCUGUAACUAUAACACAAGCUGAAGGAAAUAUUAGAUUCAGCUUGAUAAAUAAGAGAACAAUUGACUUAGCUUUAAGAAAAAUAAAAAAUGAAUCAACAAGAGAAAAAAUACAAUACGUAUAUUUAGCUGAAAUUCAGAUUUUAAUAAAAUCACUUUUCAAAGAAGGAGUAGAUAGCCCAAUAGUUUUGUCAAUACAUGAUCAACGGUUCCAUGAUCCUAGCAUAGGACAUCCAGGAACAGUAGAAGGAAACUUAUGUUAUACCAAACUACUAUUUACAUGUCACCCUAGAUAUUGUGUACAUAUAAAAGAUAAAAACAUAGAUGAGACAUUAAGUUUACACUUUAAAUUAUUAAAAAAGAACCUGAUGAAAGAAGGAAAUAGACUAAUGACCAUACACUACUCUGCAUUAUAUAGUUUUUGUAAUUCAAAUUAUGGAGAAAUCUAUGGAAACAAACCCUACAUAGAAAUAAAUAAAGAAUGUGAAGACAUAGCAACUCUUAUAGAACUUGUCAUUCAGGAUUAUAAAAUCCCCAUAACUUAUGAGCUAAACAUAGAUGACAAAAAACAGCUUUUAAAUGACAAUAAUGAAAACUCUAUAAUCCCUAUAAGUUUUGCAGGAAGAACUCUAAUAAGAGGAAGUUCAUCCAGAAGGCUAAAUACUGAUAAACAAUUAGUUAACAUAGAUAAACAAAUAGCUAGACCUAUAAUGACUAGUAACGUAGUAAAAAUACUUGGGCAAUAUUUUAAUGGAAUAGAUUAUACAACCAAGAUACCCAUUUUAGUAGACAUAGGAACAAGUCAUAAUUAUAUGAAUCAUACUAAAAAUAAAGGACUCUUAAUAAAAGAGAAAGAAAUUUCAUAUGAAUACACUGACUUUAAUGGCAAUAAACAUAUAUGUAAACAAGAAGUAAAAGUUCCACUAAUAAUUGAAGGAGUACGAAUAAUCGUAUCCUGUUACAUAGAUUCUUUUAUGACUACAGAUCCAGAAAAACAUAUAGUACUAGGAAAUAGUUUCCUAAAUAGUUUGGAAUACUAUAAAAUUGAAAAAUAUCAAAUAACAUUACAAAUAGAAGGACAAAAAUAGUUUUUGAAACAUGUUAAAACAAGCUUAUAUAAAAUAUCUUAUGUCUGUUUAUAUAUAAAUAAAUAUAAUAGAAAAAAACAUAGAUACUUGUGCCUUGAUAGACACAGGGAGUGAAAUUACAAUUAUGAAAACCUUUUUAUCGAAUCAAUGGAAACCAAAUGGCAAAAUAAAACUUGUAGGUAUAACAAGGGAUAAACAACAAAUCAAUCAAUCCUUAUUAAAUUUUGAAAUCCUUUUAGGAAGUAAAAUUGUACGAAUAAACCACAUCUUCCAAUAUGACCAAAUGGAUUGUGAUAUCCUUUUAGGAAAUGAUUUCCUCCAACAAUUUCAAUAUUACCAACAAACUCCUUAUACGAUCACUCUUAAAACCCCUUGUAACCAUAUCCUUCGUAUUUCGCGCGAAUUUAAACCUUACAGAGUUCAGCCAGCCCAGCGUGGUGAUAGUCUAAUUUAUGAAAAAUAUUUUUUAAUUUUUAAAGGAAAAAGCUAUAAUAUACAAUUAGAAACAAUAAAAUCUCAACUUGAACAAGUUUAUAAAGAAAAUCUGUUAGCAUUGUGGAAACCAGAUCACCUUAGAGCAAAUAUAGAAUUAAUAGAAAAUAGAAUUAUAAGACUUAAACCAAUGAUGUAUACAGAGGAAGAUAGAGAAGAGUUUAAAAUCCAGAUAAAAGAAUUAUUAAAUUUAAACCUAAUAAGAAAUAGUAAUAGUCCACAUAAUAGUCCAGUUUUUAUGGUUAGAAAGAGAGCAGAACAAGUUAGAGGAAAGACUAGAAUGGUAAUAAAUUAUAAAGAACUAAAUAAAUACACAAAAUUUGAUGGAUAUUUUUUACCAAAUAAAGAAGUACUGAUAAAUCUUGUGAAAAAUAAAACUUAUUAUUCAAAAUUUGACUGUAAAUCAGAAUUUUGGCAGAUAAAAAUGGAAGAACAUAGUAUUCCUUAUACAGCAUUUAGUACUCCACAGGGUUAUUAUGAAUGGCUAGUAAUGCCUUUCGGAUUAAAAAAUGCCCCUCAGAUUUUCCAAAGUAGAAUGGAUAAAAUAUUUAAGGAUUAUAAAUACAUAAUAGUAUAUGUAGAUGAUAUAUUAAUAGCAUCAGAAACAUUAGAAGACCAUAGAAAACAUUUGAAAGAAUUUGUGAAUGUUUGUAUUAGAGAAGGAAUAGUACUGUCAGAAAGGAAGGCAGUAAUAGAACAUAAGAAAAUAGAAUUUUUGGGAAUGAUUCUGGAUAGACAAGGAAUCAGACUCCAGAGUUACAUAAGCAGAAAGAUUAGUGAAUUCCCAGAUAAAUUAGAGAAUAAACAGCAAAUACAAAAAUUCUUAGGUUGUUUAAAUUAUGCUGAAGGAUUCAUAAAAGACUUAGCAAAGAAAAGAAAUACACUUCAAAAAUUACUUAGGAAAAAUAAUACCAGAGGAUGGAACAUAGAACAUACAGAGACUGUAAAAAGCUUAAAAGAAGAAUGUAAGAAUCUCCCUUCAUUAAGAUUACCAGAAGAAACUGAUAGACUAGUAGUACAAACCGAUGCAUCUGACCUGCAUUGGGGAGUUAUACUUAAAACAGAUAUAAACGAAAUUUGUAGGUAUACUAGUGGUACAUUUAACCAAGCACAGGUUAAUUACCCUGUACAUGGAAAAGAACUCCUUGCAAUAUAUAAAGGAAUUAAAAAGUUCUCAUUAUUUUUAUUACAAAAGCCAUUUAUUAUAGAAACAGAUAAUUCUCAAGUAAGCUCAUUAAUAAGCAAGAUUUUUCCAAAUGAACCCCAGUAUAGAAGAUUACACAGAUGGUAAGCAUAUUUGUCAUAUUAUAAUUUCAAAAUUAUACACAUAAAGGGAACUAACAAUUUCCUUGCAGAUUUCUUAAGCAGGAACAUAGAAUUUGGAGAUGGAUCCAGAAAUAAAUAAGAUCCUCUCAGGAAUAGAUGCCGAAUUACAUAGACUGGCAACAGAAGCAUCAGACAUAAUUGAUGCCAUAAACUAUAUAAAAGAGGCUUCAGAAGCCCAUGAAAAGGGAGUACAUUUGUUAGUAUCAUACAUAAACAAUCUGACAAAAGCACUCUCAAUAAACAAAGGCCCAAUAAAUGUUGUGCCAAUAAACACCAGCCCGAAAGGUGAAGGAAGCAGUGGUGGACCCAUCAGAGAGAAUAAACCAAUCUCUGAUCCAGUUCCUGGUCCUAGCCAAACCAUAACCACCAAAAUCAAGCCCUACAAAAACAAAAAGUUUAUCCAAAUAAACAGUCCCUAUACCGAAGAAGAGACAGAGCCUUUAAACCUAAAAGAAGAAGAGUAUAAACAGUUCUCUACAUGGGUAUACUCCACAUGUUCCCAUAACAGUAAUAUUUAUAAAGCACCUGGAAAAAAUAUGUAUCCUAGAAUGAUAGCCACAAAAGGAGCAGACCCACUCCUUGUUGGAAAAAUAGCCCGAUAUGGUUACCUAGACUUAGUAUAUCCUGACAUAGACCUCCGAGAAAUAGCCAGCUUAGGUGAAUUGUUAGUCAAAGAAGUGUCAAGAUUUGCCUAGAAAAAACCUAUAUACCUUAAAUUCUACACCAUAAGUCCAGAAUACCACCAAAAUAUAGAAUACCAAGCCUUUUAUAUGAUAUCCGUAGGUCAUCUCACAAAAAAUUUUAAAGUAGAAGUAGGAACUGAAUACACAGAAGUUCCUCAGAUAAACAAAGCCUGGAUCCAAACCCGAAGAGCCAGAGGAAUAAAAGCCAUAUGGAGCAUAGCAAAGGAUUUGUAUAAAAGAAAUUUCAGAACCAUCAUCAGAUUCCAGAACUAUAUACUCGUGACAGCAGAAGACAGCCAUACACAGUCAAACAUCCUGCUGGAGCUAAUAAAUGACAUAAGCACUAUGUGUUUCCCCAGUAGCAGUGAAACCAUGCAGCAGGCUUGCCAGCUCAUGGAGAUAAGCCAUCCAAACAAGUAAAAAGAAGUAACACGCUUAGCAGACAGAAGAGAUAGAAAGAUAAAAGAUGCUGGUAGAAGAUGCUCGUGGCAGACAAAAUAAAGAUACUGAUAGAAGAUGCUCGUGGCAGAAAAAAUAAUGGAGAUGCCCGACAAGACAAAAAGAUAAAGCAGAGGCACGUGAUUGCCAAAGAAAAAAGAAGAAUAAAAUAAAGGCUCGUGAUAAUCAAAGAAGACACGUGGUUUGAAAUAAAAGAUGUAAAAAUGUAGUUACGUAAGGAAUGAUGUAAGAGCCCAAUAAAAAAGGGGCAGUAAUGUAAUUGUAAAAGAUAAACAAUUUAAAUAUAAAUAAAGGAGAAAGGAGAGAAGGCUCUCAGAGCUUAUCAUUACCAGAACUCAAUCACUUUCUACAGUUCAAAAAACUCUCUGAAACAAUGAACAGCUAAACCACUCCCCUGCUCUAAAUCCUAAAUCAAUACAUCACUGAUCAGAACAAAUAAACACCACAGGAAGGAAAGAGAAACCUAAAAUUAUUCAAUGUUUCUAAGCACAACGAUCAAGAUCCAUACAGUAAGGCCGCUCGAGUCCGCUGAUCCCGUUGAGGCAAGGAGGCCUUUGAGGGAAUAAGGACAACCAGGCUGCAGGUCACUGGAGAAUGAUCGAAAGGCAAAGAAACAAGAAUAACUUAGGUAAUGAUUCUCAAUCUUUAUCUAUUGGUGGAAGUUUGUUGAUGAUUGAUGAUGAAGAGAUUUAUGGAGGAAGAGCAAAUUCUCAGAAGAGAAACUCUUUGAAUAAAUUGAUUCAACAUGAAUAACUAUAUUUUGUUAGGAAAAUCUAAAAAAUAUAUGGUAAACCCAACAACUAGAAUAACAUAUAAUAAUUAUAUGAUGAUAAUAGAUUUUAACUUAGGAUCAUUUAGACAGGGCUCAUAUCUUGUUAGUAAACAAGAACUUGUUAGAACAGAAGACUUACAAGCAGUAUAUAGUCUUAAUCUACCACAAGAAAUAAAACAAAAAAUUAUAAAUCAUAUCAAAAUAGAGAAUCUGAAACAUAACAUAAUCAUGUUAACUGUAGAACAAGCAAUUAACAUAGCCUUAGCAUAUAUGGAAUAUGAAAGUCUAGGAAUAGGACCAUCUUACAUAACAGAUAUAGAAAAUUCAGAUAAUGAAGAACUGGACAUAUAACUUGAAAAAUAUAAAGAGGUAUAUAGGCGGGAAUCCAUCGACGUAAGUUCCAGAGGUGAACCCGAAUGGGCACUAGUCUGGUCCGCAUUGAUGGUCAACAAGCCACGUACUUCUGUUUGAUUUAAUUUAAUAAUAAACACUAGAAUUAAAACUUGUAAAUCUAUUUUAAUAAUAUUGACAUAUUUUUACUUUCUCAGUAGCCGUUUUUAAUUUGAUUAUUUUUAUUUAAUUUUUAAUUUCAGUUAUUUUCUGUUUAAAUACACACACCCAAAAUGGUAUCAGAGCCAUAAGAGUCCGAAAAGAAUCAUAAAAAUUCUAGAACUAAUAUAUAAAAAUUUUGCAAUAAAAUUUUAAUGGAUCCAAUAAAAGGCAUCUGUAAUAAUAAUAAUAAUAAUGAUGAUGAUGAUGAUGAUGAUGAUAAUAAUAAUAAUGGAUCAUUAAACUGAAAAAAAAAAUUAUCCUCUAUUUUCUAAGUAGGGAAAAUGGUAAUAGAAUAUGUCAAUAUGAGAGCUAAUUAUUUUCAUUUCUUGGAAAUAUAUUAUCUAAAAUUCUUCCUUCCAUCUUUAGCUAACUAGAAAUGUUGGCUUGGGAGAUGAGCUCUAUUACAAGUAUAAUUUUUUCUUUUUUUUUCUCUCUACAUUUUAAUUGGGACUUGAAAGUACUCUCUUUUAUGUUCUCAGUUUUAGAGUCUCAUUCUCGUCAGUAAUUUGUAACUUUAAAAGUGCUUUUGUUUAUGAAAUCUAGAUUUGGCUCUUUUGGGUCACACAAUAGGUGGACUCCACUUCAAAAGCUCUGUAGUUUGUACAAUUUUUCAUUUCUCUUUUCUUCAGCGCAUAGAAGAUUUUAAUUUUAGAAUUUUUUUUCUUCUUUUGUUCAUAAAAUAGAAAACAAAUUAUAGAAGCGCACUUAUUUUGCGAUUUAAUUGUCUAAGUUUUUCUUGCUGUUAGCCUGUCAACCGUUAUAAGCAAGGAAAACCCAUUACUGUCUCUAUAUAAUUUAAUAUAAUUUCUAUCAAAAUAAUUAAUUAAAUCAAAUCAAAUAAAUAAACAGCCUCUCAUAUUUCUCCAAAUGAUUAAGAAAGAAUUCGAAAGAACUAAGAAAAUGUUUUAAUAGUUUCGAGAAACUAUUUGGUAUGCCUAUAUUAAUAUUUCUCAUGAAUAUAUGAUUUAUUUUUUUCAUUUAUAGUGAGCAAUGCCACUCAUCUUGUGGUGCAUGAUAUUUUUAUGGGUGGAUUAUUUAUACUCUAAAAAUCUACUUUGAACACUUAUUUACUUUGCACACUCAAUUGAUAAUAUAAAAAUAUAAGUUUUCACUUAAAACACUCUUUCAAAUUCCUAUAUUGUUCCCAUUCACUACUAAAAAAUGUUGAUUUAUGACAGAUUUUAUAUGAUGGAUAUCGUUGUGUCACGAAUCCAUCGUAGAAGCAUAACAUUUUUGUGACAUACAAAUAUAUAUCAAGAAUUUAUGACAUAUUUGUGACUCAUAGCUUAAUGACAUAAGCUGAUGAUAUAUAAGAGUCAUGCUUGAAUUUACUAUUAUUAAAAAAUUAAAACGACAUAUUUAAAUUCAUAAUAGAUAUCGUCGUUUGAUGAGCAUGGUAGAUAUUUAUCAUGAAUUGAAACGGUGCAAUUUUUAUGAGCUAGUUAUUUUAUUUUUUAAAGUCUAAGAGUUUGUUUGGGUUAGCCUUUGCUUUUACUUUUACUUAAAUUAAAACAUAAGUAAAAGUUCUACCUUAUUUUUUCUGUUUGGAUGACCAUAGUAAAAGAUAUUUUUUUUAAUGAGAAGUUUUUUUUAAAGUAUUUGGAUGUCCAUUUAAAAAAGACUUUUUAAUGAUUUUAAAGUCAUUAAUAUGCUUAAAUAUUUGAGUCUAACAAAUACUUAUCAAAUUUAAAAAUCAAUGACAAACAAAAUAAUUAUUUGAUCAAUCUAGCUAAAAUUUUAUAAAUUAAAGUACCGUUUUUCUUUAAAAAAGAAGAACAAAAUAACUAGAUUAAGUUUUAUCUAAGCAUAAAUUCCCUACCAAUAUUUUCGCAAACCACUCCCAUUUCACUUGCUUCAUUUUCAUCAACAUUAAUGUUAGUUGAUGAUUCUUCAUCAUUUGGAACAUACUCUUCUUUUCUCUCUUAAGACUCGAACUCCAAAUCUACAAUAGCUUCUCUCCUUAUAAAGUUGUGUAAAGCCAUUGAUGUGACAACAACAGCUACUUGCUUAUCAAACUUGAAAUUAGGCAUAAGUUGCAAAAUUUUCCACCAUGCCUUCCAUACUCCAAAGGUACGUUCAAUAACACUACGCAAUUAUGAAUGUGUAAAAUUGAAUGUCUCUUGACUAUUCCUUAGUAGGCCACUACUGCAAAAUUCAGAAAGAUGAUAUCUAUCUCCUUUAUAAGGAGCUAGAAAAAUUUUCAUAUUUGGAUACUCCCAUAAACCAAGUAAUAUUUACCUACAAAUUAUAACAAAAUUAAUUAUUCUUAUUUUAAAAGAAGUAAAAAAAAAGGUACAAAAACACUUAUAAAGUGAAGAACUUACCGUUUGGUGGUUUAGGAAAUUUUACAUUAUCAUUUUUUAAUGUCUCCAAAAAUAUACGAGUAUCAUGUGCAGUUCCUUCCCAUCCAGGCCACACAAAUGUAAAUCACAUGUCAAAAUCACGUUGUGCCAUUAUAUUUUGAGUAGGAAUACAUUUUCUACAAAUGUAUGGAAUUUGCUCAUCCACCGGAAGCGAGGCAAAAAUAUGAGUCCUAUUCCUAAAAUGUAAUAUAUUAAUCCAAUUUGAAUAGAGGAGACAUUAGUUGACAUCCUGGAAUUGUAGCUAACUUGUCGAGAACCUCCUGAACACUACAAUCGGGAAGAUCAGUACGUAUCUAUGAAUCCUUGUUCUUAACUGCCUCAAAAAGUUCAUCAAUUCAUUAUGGUUGACUUCUUCAGAAUUUGCACUAUCCACCGGAGCAAUGCAUUCUCAAUAAUAUUUUCAAAACUACAAUGAUUGUAUAAAGGAGGUGUUACACCAGAAGUUGGUGCCUAAUCUCUUCCUCAUGUUGCUGUAACAUCACGAAAUAAUUCAUCUAAUAUAAAAGCAUGGUCUAGGCCCUUAAUCCAAAAUUUUACAGCUUUUGGGUGUUUAUGUUAUUAUAAUUUUAGAAUUAGCGACAUAAAAAUUUAAUACAUGAAUUAAACUUAAAAUAACUUGAAUGUAAAUAAUCUAACUUUGCCUCCCACCAUUCAUUUGUAGCUUCUAUUAUUUGUCUCUCCACAUUCCAACCUAGCCUUAUUUCUCCCCUCACCAAUGCAUCACAUAUUUGCCAUUCUUUCUUCACAAUAUCCCAACGGUUCUUAUGUUGCUUUCAAUCAAAAUUUUUAUUGGUUGCCACUAUAAAAUUUUCUAUAAGAUUUUUCCAACCUUGCUUACUUAAAUGUGUUUCACUUAUAUUACCAACUCUCACUUGCUCCACAGCCAAAUUAACCCAAAUUUCAUGUGAUUUUGGAUCCUAAACAACUUGGAUUUACUUAGGAGACACUAUAAGUUGUCAUCUAAUUCUAGCUAAGGAUAAUAGAUAUUUAUCAAUAGACAUAUCAACAACACCAAAUCAGAGAAAGAAUAAUAGAAAAUCAAUAAACACAAAAGAAUAUAAAACAAUUCGGCAGUAACUGAUAUCACAGCUACCAAUAUCUUCAAAAUAUUAAAUAUCAAUUGUUGUAACAUUAAUUUCAAUUACUUGUUACUGCACAUGCAUGUCAUAUAAUAUGCAGAUCAAACAAUAUUCUUCAUUCUGAACAAUUCGAACUAAAUACAAUUCCUCACUUUACAUUCUAAAAAAUAACACUUCUAUAUGCCCACAUGAAUAAAACCUAUGUGAAAUAAACAAAAACUUUAUAAAUUAACAAUAAAAAAUUAAUUAAAUUAAAUUCGGCAACUUAACUUCUAAUUCAUAUUCCACCAAUUCACAAAACAUUAUUCUUUGUUUCAAGUCAAUUUUAUAAAUUUACUUCAAAAAAUAAUGAAAUAAAGCAUAACCGAAUGGACAAAGAAUCAAAGCAAGAGAUUUCCGUAUAUAAACACAUUAAAAAAUUAAAAAUAAGAUACAAAUCAAAGCAUGAGAUUAAAAAAAAAAUUUCUUACUUGAAAGAAGAUUGGUGUGGUGAUUGUGUUCCUUAUGUUGUUUUUUUUUUUUUUUUGGGUUGAACAAUGAAGAGCAAAACAAGAAAAAUACGUAAGAAAUAGGGUUUAAAGGUUUGGAUAUAGAUAUAAUUUUUUUUGUUCCUUUAUUAAUUUAAGGUUAAUUUAGAAAUUAUGAAAAGUAUAAUAAAUAAGAAAAUAGCUUCUCAAAAUGUGUUUUGGGAAAAGCAGAAAUCUUGGUUUCUCCCAAAAGACCUUUUGAAUUAAAAAAAAAAACUUUUAGUUUGACAUUCAAAUAAUUUCAAAAGAUCUUUUUUAAUUUUAAAAGCUAAAAAAGAGCUUAAUUAAGCUAAUCCAAACAGCCUCGACAAAAACGACGUCAAAUUAAAUUAAACGACAUCGUUUGCAAAGCCUAGGCCUAAGGUUUUCAAUGCAGCAAAUUUUUUCUGAAGUGUUGAAUGCAUCUCUUCGCUACACUCUCUCCCACUCAACUUAGGAAAGCCCUUCAAACCCUAAGUCAAAAUAAAAAACCGCCGCUCACUGAAGAAGGUGCAAACGGAUCUCUUUUCCUGUUAUUUGAAGAAAAUGAAAACAGUCGUUGCCCUCUGAAGUCAAAGUUGCUGCUCUCCUCCGUAUCCGUCACUGGCUAUUGAAGAAACCCACUGCUCAUCGUUGCUUUGGUAAAAAAGGUAAAGACAAAAAUAGCUUGUUUGAUUUUGAAAAUUAAAUUCAUUACUCCUCAAUUUUCCUUGAUUAAUUGGGUUUUUCCAUUUAUUAAGCAUCUUUAAAAUCGAAAUUGAUCUCUCAAUGCCUUGGGUUUUGACCUAAUUAAAAUUGGGGUUUUUUAAAAUUGAAAUUGGAGGUUAAUUUGCCUCAUUUUGGAUGAUGAAUUUAUCACUUAAGAAUCAAUUGAUUGAGUUGAGAUAAAAAAUAUCCCAUCUUAUUGUGUGUUUUCUCUCUUUAAAGUUUAUAGCAAAUUCUUGUAAUUUUAGGUUCAAAUAUGCACAUGGUAAAAAAUUAAGUUAACUGAAUGUUCUAAUGGAUUUGUAUGAUCAGUUUUUGCACAAUAUAUAUUAGGUUCGAUUAGGCCAAUUACUCAAACUCCCGUAAGUGACUUCGCAUGACUCCAAGCUUCGGAAAUGGUUGGCUUUUAAUAUUAGCAUUAGUGGAACUUAAUAAAUGCUUAACUGAUAUUAAUGAAAGUAUUUUUUAGAUUUUAUAUUUGAAGUUUAGUUGUAUAUGAAUGUUGUGAGUAAUAGCUUUCAUGGAAUUUUAUUGAAUGUUGUGACAAGUAUAGAUUUUACUAAAUGUUGUGCGUAAUAACUUUCAUGGAAUUUUAUUUUUGCUUCUGAAUUUUAAGUAACUUUUAAUAUGCUAUUUUUGUUCUUAUUGUGUUGAACUGACUAUGGCAGAAGAAUUCAAGUUUCACAAGAUGUGGCUAGGCUCGCAGCUGUAUUAUUACUGUUGGUAAAUGCUUCUUGCAAGUGUAGUUUGCUUUAGUAUUGAAUUUUUUAUUGUGACAGUAUUAUCUUCUAGAGUAUGUUGGAUUAGAGAAAGGAAUCUAUAGGAGGUAAGAGCUAGCUACUACUAAUACUUCUAUCAAUUCUAUUAAAAUGCUAUUACUUCUGUUGCUCAUCGUAUGUUUGUUAAAUGCUUGAAUGAAAGUUAUCUGCAUUUCUUAAUAAAGAGGAAAAAGAAAAUAUAGAGUAGUGUUAUUUUGGAUUUAACUUACUGAUUUUUUGGAUGCCUAUAUAUAUUGUUACUUGAAACCAAAUUUUUGUUUUGCUACUUUGGAAUUUCUAAGUGCUUGUUAAUGGAUUUGUGUUUUCUUUAUUAAUCUGAACGUAUUCUAAAGCAGGUCUAUAGCUACAAGUUGAUUACUUAUUUCCAUAACCUGGGGGUUUUUAUUUGAUUAUAAUUCUUGAUCAUCUUUUAUUUAUUCAUUUUUCAAUGAAUGAUAAUAGGUUUUAUCGUUACAAGACUUAGAUCUUUGAAAUAUCAAAAUUUUAGCUAGCUUCAUUUUUUUAAUUUUUCUUUUUGAGCUUUCAAUUUUCUUGAAUCAGUUUAUUAAUGCAUAAUUUAUCAGGUUUGCUUAAUAGUUAUUGGCAAUAAUACUUUGGUUCUGGCACACAUGGUAGAUGGCUUUUCAUCCACUAUUCUAGCUCUAGAAUUUAUUCAUUUUAUUUGUUAACUCUUGAUUAUCUUCAAAUACAGAUCUUUUAUCAAUCAAUUUAUUAGAGACCACUAUUGUGGGGCUUGUGGGAUUGCUCUCAAAGAUGAUGGGGGUGAUGUUUUGAAGAGGCUUUAUUUCCAGCAGUAGCAGCCAAUGGGUUUGAAUUUUGUCCUUUAUAUUCGUUGUUAAGGACUGUUUAUCUAAACCAUACAUAUUUUGUUUAUGAAUUAUACCAAAUUACGAAAAUACUUUUGGUUCUUUCAUAUUAAUUUUAAAUUCACAUUCUUUUGUAGUGUUAAUGGUAAUUAAAAUAUAUAUUUCCUAUGAAAUUAAAAAGAAAUAUAUUAAAAUUGGUAAAAUUAAAUUGGAUUAUAAUUCAUAAAAUAUAUUUAUAUAAUUCAAAAUUAAAUUUAAUUAAAUACAAAUAAUAACUAAUGAAAUAAAUUAAUAAUGGAAUAAUAAAAAAUAUGAAUAUCCACUAAAAUUUGAAAUCGCAACAAAAUUCGUUUAAAAUUUUGGAAUCCCACCAAAUUUAUUUAUAUAUGUCAUUAUCUCAUAGGGAUGGCAAAAUAAUUCGGACCCGAAUUGGACCCGCACGAACAUGGAUGAUUCGGACCGGGUUCAACCCACACCGGAUACAAAAAAAUUCGGAAUCCGACAAUAAUUUAAUAAACCCAGAUGUAUCUGGAUUUAGAAUAGGUCGACCUACAUAUCCAGCACCUAGACCCGAAUGUCUUUAUUUUUAAUUUUUUUUAAUAUAAAUAGAAUAGCAAAAAGGAAAGAUGAAGCCCUAGUUUUCACUUUACAACUCUCUCAAUACAACUCCCAGCCAUUUUCUUCUCUUCAUCAAUUCAACACAGCCCCUAACUAUUGCUUUUUUUGUCAUCGUCAUCUCUCCACUUUGCUGCCAUCGCGGCUGUGUUGAUCAUUAUCGUCAUCAACUGCCAUUCAAUUUGUUGAUUGGUGCCAAACUAGAUUCAAGUGUGGUAUCAAUUACCAGCCUCCAAUUAAUGUUUCGAGUGGUGAUCUCGUGAAGGUGCAAAGGGUUGUGUGCAUGACAGCGAACUCAACUAGUAUUGCUAAGGUAUUUUCUCGCAUUGGCCACAAUUUUGAUUUGAUGUAAUGCCAAGUGGGCAUAGAGAAAGGUGAGUUCUUUGAAGCCCGUGAGGAUUUUGCAGCUUUGGAGAAGGAUUAUAAGGACGUUGGUGCUGAAUCUGGUGAGGGUGAAAAUGGAUAUGAGGGAGAUGAUGUGUUUGUAAUUUUUUAGGCUUGUGUUCUUUUGAUUGCUUCUUUGAUGUAAGGUUGAAUUCUAGUUGCAUUGGUUCCCAUUCUACUACUUUUACAUUUUUGGUUGGCUAUGCGGCUAUGUAUUUUUUUCCAUUGUUAUCCACAGCAUGUUAGAGAAUUGAAAAGGGGAAAAAAAUACAGGCAUCUGGGUUUGAAACUCACAAUCCGGAAACUGGGAUUUUUCUGGGUUAAAUUCGGUCCGGACUUGGAGAUAAAUUAUCCGAGUUUAUAUCCGGAUCCGGAAUACCAAAUUAACAUCUGGGUUCGGAACCGAAACGACCAAACCCGAACCCGAAAUAUGCCAUCACUAUUAUCUCAUGACAUAUAUUAGUCAUGCAUGAAAGUGAUUAUGACAAAAAUUAGUCAUACGCGAAAUGUUUUUUAUCAAAAUAGUUAUGACGAAAUCAUGACAGAUAAUAUGUCAUCCAUAACACAACGUAUAUAAACAAUCAUCUUAUUUUCUUGACAUCGGAAUCAAUGACAGUCGUUCAACUGUCAUGCAACAAGUCAUUAUGGGUAAUACUUGUCAUAAAGGCCUUUUUUUCUAGUAGUGAUUACCUAUUUCUUUAAUUACCUUGUUUCCUCUCAAUAAAAUAUUCAUCAUCACAAGUAAAAUAUCUUUUUUCCAUUUGUAUUAACUUUUAUUUUCCUUUCAUAAUAAGGUUUGAUAUUUGUUUAUUCUUCUCUUUAAUGCGGACAUUUUAAUUUUGUUUUUCAAACCCAUGAAAGCAUGUAGAUUAGAUAGAGUAAAUGUCAAAAAGAAAAUUUAAAACAAAUCUUAUCCUUUGAUUUUCUUUGAUUUUCUUUUCUUUUAUUUCAUUUUCUUAAGUUGGAGUGGUACAAUUUAUUGUUCUUCCUCCACUUAUGUUUUUUUAUUCUUUUUGUUUCAGUUGCAAAAGAUGGAACAUGUUACUUUUAUGUUUUCCUAGCAAUUCUAUUAACAAAAAAAAUAAAAUGAGAAAAUGUAGUCUGAAGUAAUAGACAAUGUUUUAUCAUGAAUAUUGAUUCAAUUUUUCAUCGUAUGUGGUUUACUGUAGAUAAAAUAUGAUACUGGAUAAAAAUUGUUAAACAAUAUUUUAUUAAAUUGUUCUUAAUAGUAAAUUAUAUUUAGGUUAAUUUUGUAAUGUAAAAAAUUAUUAAAAUAUGAGUGUUCGAAAUAAAUUUUAGAGUGCAAAUAGUCUCCCGUAUUGUCAUGUAGUGUGGGUUUGGUAAUUUACAGUUUUAUCAAUAUUUUUGAGAUGUUACAAAAUUUUGUAAUUUAUGUACAAAAGUUGCUAUCCCCCCCCCCCCCCCCCCCCCGAGGCCAAAGUAAAUUUCAUUUUAAGGGCCCAGAAAAGACAAUAAUACAUCAUCACAUCGACCACAAAUAAAAUACUUAAGAUAACCUAAGACUUGAGUCUCGGUUAGGAUAACGCUUAAUAACAAAUAAAAUAAGAAAACCAACUACGUUAAUUACGAAUUCCUUACAGCCGAUAAGCAAAAAGAACUCAAUGCACUAAAACCUAACAUAGUGCUGAAGAAAUUUUUUGAGUUUGGCCUAGUCUACCCACCUCAAAUAUUGUAGGUAAAGACUACAUUCAAUAAUAUAUAUAUAUAUAUAUAUAUAUUGAAUAAUUUACAAUUCUUCAUCAUUUCAAAAGAAAAAAAAAAUCAUAUGCAAAUUCUUUGCAAUACGCUAUGCAUGCAACCAUUUUACCGUCCAUAUAUAUCAUUCACACCAAAGAAACUUUAAACAUAAGAAACACAUUAAGUAAGUCUCGGCAAAACAAAUAAUUUUUUUAAAAAUGAACAUAAAAUAUAAUAUUUUUUUAUCGCCUUUAAGUAGCCAUGCUAAAAUCGGGACCCAAUAACCAAUUGCUUCUACAAGCCUAGCAGCCCCCUCCACAUCUCCCCAACAAGUGGUAUCAAAGUCAGGCUAUAGUAGUCAAAAUAUGGUAGUGGAACAACUUAGAUACAUUGGAUGAAAGUACCACAAUUCGACGACAAUUCCGUGUAAGGUAGGGAUUAUUGAGUUGUGUCUCACAUUGGUUAGUUAAGAUGUGUUCUUGAGUUUUAUACGUAAGAUAAGCUCCCCAUCAAUAGGCUACUAUUUUAGCUUAGACACUUGGAUAUCCCAGGCCCAACAUCUAACAUGUAACAUAAGUAAAAUGAACGCAUUAAAUGGUUAAAGGGUGUCAUUUGAUGAGUUCCUAAAUAAGAUAUGUUCUUUCACUUGAUAAGUUAGUUUUUUAGAUUAGAUAUUUGGAUAUCCUAUGCACCUAUGCCCAACCCCUAAUGUGAAACAUAAGUAAUUAAAAUAUCAUAAAUCUAUAAGUAACCACAGCCAGCGUACAUGCCUUAUCUAUGCCUUUUAUACAAACUUUUACUUAAAUGAUUAUCGUUGUGCAUUCACAGAUCCCACACACAAAUAAAUACUCAACUCUGACGUAAACUUGAGAAAACAUUGCGUUAGAAUGAAAGACAUAAUCUAAAAUGUGUAUUGAGUUUUUAAAUCUAAUGAAAACUCUCACUGUUGCCAUGCGAUGCCACCAAAAAAGGACAUAACAACAACUAUUGCACAUCUUUACAACUAUCACUCAUAUAUGUAUAUAUAUAUAUAUAUGUGUGUGUGUGUGUGUGUGUGUAUGUGUGUGUGUGUACACACACACACACAUAUAAAUAUGGGAAUUGGCGCCCAUGAUUGGCUAGACUGGCCCAACAAAAAGAAACAUCUAGAAGCUUCUUUUAGAUAGGGUUUUAUAUAAAUGUUGUAAGUUUAAUUAGAUUAUGAGAGUUAUGAAGUCUUUUGGUUGAAUUCAAUCACUCUCAUUGGCUUCUAUAUAAACACACCUAUUGUAUCUAAAAUACAAGUAUGCGAGAGACAUGAACAAUACGUAGAACAUAUUUGAAAAUACAAAGAGCGAAAAUGAGAGAAAAGGCAGUGGGUUCUUGCGAUGUGAUAUGAGUGGAUCUUAUAUUAUUAUUAUUAUCCUUCAACCAUAAGCAUACAAUGGUAUGAGGGUGUUCCAUGAGAUUAUCCUCUGUCUCUAAUCAACUUGACAGUGACAUAAUCUCGUUGUGAUAUGCUUCCACAUUAAGGAUCAAAAUGUAUGGUUUUGGAUCUCUCAUUAAUUAUAUGUUGAAUAUACAUGAAAAUCAACAUUGGUAUCAAACCCAAUGUAGGUUAUGUUCUGUUUUGAUGUAUUUGCAUGAGACAUGCCAUGUUCUUUGAUGAAAUAUAUAUUUUUGUGUUUAGAACACACUUUAAUGGUAUGUAAUGAAUCACUCAUUGUUAGGCCUUGAUAUUUGGUUUACAGAACAUGAAUAUAUGUGAAUUAAAUCUGGAAUUUUAUAUGAAUUUAUAUGGCAUAAGUUAUGAGAAAGCAAAAACCUAACCAUGAACCCGUAUGAUUAUUUUACUUACAACUCUUGACACAGUGGUUAGUUCUCUAUAAAUUUGAUAACAUUAGAAAGAUAAUUUAGACAACUUUCCAACGAUAUAUCAUAUGCAUAAUUCUGAGUAGCUCGUGCACUACACGCGCAUAGCGUGCGUGUGAAAAGUUGGCAGCACAGCACUUGUCGACUCAAAUAGGUGUUGUAACUUUUUCUUGUGCUAUUGGUGUCAAUGUCUGGCAGCACAACACUUGUCCACUAAAUGGGUGUUGUAACUUUUUCUUGUGCUAUUGGUGUCAAUGUGCAAGUAUACACAACAAGUAAUAUAAUGAUGAGUAUUCAAGAUCAUCUCCAUAGGGAUUGAUGUUAUUAGAUUUGCUACAACAAUCUUUAACAAUGCAGUUUUACUUUGAUUGAAAAUAAAACAAAUAAUAAAAUUAAUAAACUAAUUGAAAUAAAAUGCAAUAAAUAAAAAUGCAACAAAGUAAAUUCUUUAAUCAAUCACAAGAAUAAAACCAAUAUGAAUAAGGUAGUUGAUUGAUUAAACUUUCUUAAUGAUUUUGACUAUUUCUUCAAAUUUUAGGCUCGGUUGUUACAGCAUCUGCUACAUCACUGGGCAGAAUCCUUAUGUAUCCUCAAUUAUCGCAUGUUGGAUGUCUUAUAUCUCUAUGCAACCUAACAAUGACCAAUUAUACAUAAGAUAUAACAUUACAUGCUUAAGUUCUAAUUACCCUACAAGGUGAAUCCCUAUGUCUAGUCAUCAGUAAUUUUAGAUUAGGCAUGACCCUUUUGGAAUCAAGUAAAACUCAAUUCAGGAAACACAAUCUAAAACUAAAUAUUGCUCUAAUAUGUUCCAUUAAGAGAAGUCAUUUUAUGACUAUUUCUUAGCUAGUAUCAUUAAAUGCGUGGUCAACCGAAAUAAUGACUAUAAAUAAAUAUUACCAAAAUAAAAUGCUAUAGAAAACAUGCAACAACACAUAUAAAUUCAGUCAAGAAACCAUUAAGAUUGUUUAUCACUCAACCACAAUUAAAUUAGUUCAUGGUUUGCGAAAGAAAAAUAAACAAAAGAAGUUCAGCCAUCAACUACAUCCCCAUGAUUAAAGAAUGAACCAAAAAUCGAGAAAAGAAUAAGAAAGAUUGAAGUCCGAUUGAUUUCUACAAAUUCUCCACUGAUGCAGUCUUGAUUCUUGCUCUUGAAUUAUGUUUGUCCUUUAUUUCUUUUCGGUUUUUGUUCUUGGUUGACGGUUCUCCUUUUCCUUAACGUGUGCGCUUUUUUUAUAGCUAGAAAUUAGGGUAAACAGAAGCUUAGGGCGCCUAUCUCCCAUAUUAGGAAACUCCAUAUCGCAAUCUGUUAAGUAUCUCGCCCGAAAUCUUCUCUAUCAAUGCUCCAAAAUUACUACAGCAAUGAGUACAACAUCUGCACUAUUUCAGUUUAAAUUCAUUUGUAGCCAAGUUCUUUCCUUAUUUUUGCAAGCCUAUUACAGUAGCAUUCAUUCCUUGAAAUUUGAGCUUUCGGUCACCUGCAAUUAUGCAUAUGAUCUAAGCACACAAAUUAUUCUAAAAAAUAAAAUCUAUUGAAACUAAACCAAAAUUGAUACUCAUGCAAAAUAUAACUAAAAUGCAAUAAAAACAUACCAUUUACUCUUUAAGUAAUAAUGAUUCAAGUCUAAAAGUACCAUGAUAACUCUUAUUUCAUAGAGUUAUCAACAGAUGAGCCGGCAAGCGAGCGUAAGCCCUUUAAGCACGCUCACUGGUUCAGUCGACAUGCCAUAGCUUGGCUGUAUUUGAGUGAGGUGCACGAACUGCCUUCUCGACCUCCGUUUUGAGCACCACGUACGGCGAGUAACUUAGAAUUUUAUUCUCUUUUAUUUGUUGAUUUAAAAAUAAUUUUUUAUUUGUAUUACUUAUCUAUUUUGAAUCAAAAUCUUUUGAAGCUAUUUUAAAUAAAAUAAAUAAUUUAAAAUAGAGAUAAAAUUUAGAAAAAAAUAUUUUUUAAAUACUUUGAGAUGCCGUUGACAGUGCUGCACUUCUGUGGAAGCUAUUUCAACACGUUACUAAAUGUACUCUUGCUAUAAUGCAUAUUGAUGAAUUAUCUAAUAUUUGUUGAGAUAAUGUAUACUAUUUGUUUGAAAAUAAGUAUGAUUGUUCUUAAUACUAUUUGUUUGAAAAUAAGUAUGAUUGUUCUUAUUAAUCCAUGUGAUAAUAAUGAUGAAUUGAUUUAUGAAGUAUAUUUAUAUAUCACAUGUAAUUAUUUUAAUGAGAACACAAUAAGAUAUUUAAAAUAUAUUGAGAUUAUUAAGCAUGGUCUAGUAAUAUGAAUUUAUGUAUGUCUAUGAAAAUUUUGUCAAAAAGACGAUAAGAAUUUAAGGAAAUAAGGUAUUUAAAUAGGACUAUCCAAUCCCCAUCUCUUUCCUAGAAAAUUUUCUAGUGCAUUACUCAUGUCAACAUAUGCAAGAAUGCUUUAAUUCUAUUAUAUUUAUAAAUCCUUAGUGUGAGUUCUAUUAUUAUUAAAAUUUUGGGAAUAAACAAUAAUUGAACUAAAUAUUUUGUGCAACAAAAUAAAUUUAUGUUAAUUUUUGGAAAGGAUGAUGAUUAGAAGCCUUGACGAGCUUUUGAUUCUAAUCCUUAUUUUAAAAUUUUCAUUUAUUUGAUUUAUGCAAAAUAUAUUAAAUGUGUGUGAAUUAAAUGAAUAUUAUGCUAGCAUUGAUUGUCUCUUGAUUGAAUUUAAUAGAUGUUUUGGAAUAUGUUGUGUAUAAAUUAAAUGGAAAGACCAUUGAGGCAUAAACAAAUACCAAUUUUGAGCUUUGAGCAUAUUGCUUCUCUUUAGAAGAUAAAGAACAUUUUAUCGAGUUUUGCAAAACCCCGCAUACUCGCAUCUUGUUGCUGAGUAACAUGCAUUAUGCCCUUAUUAAUGAGUACAAGAAGUAUUAGGUUCCUCAUAUACAAGAGCUCAAAUAUACUAGACACAUUGUAAUUGACAAUGUUAGGUCUAGGCAUUAAAAUAUCCAACCCCAGUAGUUGGGAUAAUAUGAGAGUUUAUAUAACACAUAACCUUAGGAAUUUGAAAGCUAGCACCAAGAGACUGCUAAAGCUUGUAAUCAAAUAUGUGUUGCUUAGAUCUAAAAAAUGAGUGCUAAAAGGCUGCUAAUGCUUCCAAUUAACUCCAUAUUACUGAGUCCAACUAUAAAAGAUGAGCUCCUAGAGGCGGCUAAUGCUUCAAACAAACUCCAUAUAAUUGAUUCUAAUUCAAAAAGAUAUGCACUUAGAAGUGGCUAAUACUUCUAAAAUUAACCUAGCAAGAAGGAUUUUAGGUUGCGCAAAGCCUAAAGCUUUGAGCAUAAAAGAUGGGGUAGUCUCUUCUAGUGGAAGUUAAGGACUUGAUCCUAAUCUAAGUGACCAAUGCUAAAAAUGCUAGAUAAGACAAGCAAGCUAGAAAAAAAAAUUGUAUAUGGUUAGCUACUCACCAUGAGUUUGAGUCAUUUCGCUCGUGAUUGCAUUGAGCAGAAAUAUACUAAGUAACCAUACCUUAUAAGUAGAGAUCACAAAAAGGUUUUCAUGUUUUUACAUUGUAAUUGUCAAAAGGAAAAGAUGGAUACAUAUGAGGAUAUCCUUGUUCUAGAAAUCAAGGUAUAAGCAUCUGCAAGUUGGUAUUGCAUGGUCCUUAUUUUUCAAGAAUGAACGUACAUCGAAAAUUCAUCAAAAACCUUGGUCUAUAUUGUUGACAUUCUUAGAUUAGGAUACUUAAUUUUUAGGUGUUUGUAUAACCAAAUUUGAAAAGAGAUUUUAUGGAAAGUUGUUGACUCUGCAUCAUCUUGCAAUGAUGAUGUACAUGCCAAAAUUUGGCAUAUUAGACUUAGACAUAUAGUUAAGUUGGUUAGAGAGAGCACAUUGGGCUCACUCAUCGUAAUGAUAAAGUGUAUGUGUGAAAUUCGUUUAAUAGAGAAAACAACUUAGAAAACCACAAGGCAAAGGAACAAAAGCCAAAUGCUCAUUGCGAGUAGUCCAUUUUGACAUUGUGAUAAAAUGUAUUUAAAGGCUAGAAAUAAAGCCCAUAGUGAUUACAUUUAUAUAUCUAUCUAUUUUGGUCCAAUAUCUUUGAUCUCUUAUAAAUCAGUUGUACCAUGAUACUUCAAAUUACUUUUGGAUAUGGUAGAGAUCGAAUUAAAAUAAACCAAAAUAUGUACAUCUUUCUAAGCAAUUUUGGAAACUAUAUACAAGAAAGAUAAAGAUAGAUAAUUGAUUAUUCUUAAAACAACGCACUACUUGGAGUAGUGCAAAUUAAGGAAUAGAGCAUUAUGAGAAUUGAUAAAGUAAUAAUAGCUCAUGAGCUUCUCCAGUAUGUUGUUUGGAGAUAGUCUUUUUGAUUACAACUUAAAUACUUAAUUAAUUUCUCAUAGGAUGAGUCAUUUAUGCACCAUUCUGGAAAAGUACCUAACAUAACUCAUUUGCAACCUGGGAUAUGCAUUAAAAUAUAUUGAACAAAGAAAUAGGGCCUGUGUUCAAUAGUGAAUGAAUGGUUGAAAAAGUGACUGGAUAAAAAACCACAAAUGUCAAAAUUUCAAAUUCCUAAGCAUUAUAGAAUUUGAUAAAGAUGUAUCCUAAAUUAUGAUUUGGAUUAUCCUUUUCAUGAUACAACUUUUGGGUUGAGAAUUGAGUAUAGGUAAAAUUUGUUUGGAAAUCUUAAUCCUAGUGGAAGCCAACACCUAAUGAGGUGAUCUCCCAGAUAAUCAAUUCAAUAAAAUAAUUGAAAAGGAAUCUUAUAUCAUCUUUUAAACAUUGAAAGGAGUUUCUUCACAAUUAUUUUAUAAUAUGGUAAUGAGCUAGAAUUAUUUACAUAGAGCUCUCACUCUAAAUGCUAAGGAACUUUAGAUAAAGGCAAUGCUUAAUAGACAAAGUCAAUAAAUAAUAUCUGCGUCUGAGGCAUAGUUGGUCAAUUGCCAAACAAGCUAUUGCAAACAAUAGAGUUGUGCAUGUGCUAGGCAAAAGGCACAAGUAUAAUUAUAAGUCUUGAUUGAUUAAAGUUAUGGUCUAGCGGUGUAGACUAGAAAAAAAUCUCUUGACUAAAAGGUUUCUUUGAGGCAAUUAUUUCUGGUCAACAUUACACAUGCAUUUAUUGUCACAUCAAAUAGAUGUAAUAAAUGCAUCUCAAUGGAGAAUUGGAGAAAAAAAUAUACAUAUAAAACAACUACUAGGCAUUGUUGCCAAAGCUAUUUUUAGCGCACAGUUUGUAUGCUCAAAAGAAUUUUACUAAAGACCUUAAACACAUAGUCUGCUUGUGUGCAUAUUUUUUAUGACAUCAUCUUGAUAAAUGAUAUCUUAAAAUUUCAUCAAGCUGCAUUUCAUUGCAAGUCUAGGAUGAUUGAAGAUAGCCAUUGCAUUGAUGCAUGUGGACGAUAUUUCUAGAUGACUAGAAACAAAGAAGAUUUUGUCAAAGUCAUUAGCGUUGAUCAUCUAAUGAAAUAUGGGCAAAGUUGCCUAUGCUUUAGGAGUUUAAAUCCAAAUAGAAUCUUUUAAGAUUUUCUAACUCUGUCAGUAGAGUUAUAUUUAUAUUAGAAAAUUCUUUAAAGAUUGAAAAUAGCAAAUUGAAAGCUAAGUGGAUACUCCUAUAGAGAAUGACAAAUUUAUACAGACAAGUUUAGUUCAUAUUCUGAAUAAGAAAAAUGAAUAUAAGUAUAUUGAUCACGGGAUACAUCAAAACAAUUAAAGAAAGAAGAUAAUUAUAAGUUGAGCACGGUGAAAGACAAAUCCCAAAUAAUUCUGCACGAUUCUUCAAUGUUGCCGAAACAGCACUCUCCAAUUCUGAUCUUCUUCUCUUUUCUUUUGUAAUUAUUCUGAUGAUAAUUCCAUUGCCGCCCUUCUAUGUGGUGCACGCCUCCCUUUUAUAUUGCAAAUUAGGGUAAACCAAAGCCCACGAGCGUGCAUGCGUUAAAUUAGGAAACAUGCAGAUUGCGAUUCUGUGGCUGACCCGCGCCUAAGUUUUCUCCCGUAUUGCUACAACACUGAUUGCUCUAACAUCCGCAACCAUACUGCACUAUUCCUGAUUUUGCUUUACUUCUUUUGUGGUCAUCUUCUUUCCUCUUCUUGCUCAUCUAAUGUCUCAAUUAAGACUUUCUGAAAACCUACAAUUAUGCACUUGUUUUUAGCACAAAUUACUUUGAUUCAAGCAAAACUUAUUAAGACUCAACUAAAAUGAAUGUUUAUGCAAAAUAUAACCAAAAUGUAAUAAAAACACCUUAUUUGCUCUCUAAGUGACCUUGAUUUAAAUCUAGAAAGGAUGUAAUAACUCUCAUUUCCUAGAGUUAUCAACGCUCAUCAAGGGUACCUAAGCCUAAUACCCUGUAUCAAGGAUACACAUGAGCUGCUGCGUGAGAACUUGGUAGCUGAAGGGACACAUGUGCACUCCACUAGUUUUGCGGAUGGACUUGGUCUCCAAAGAAUCUUUACUUGCUAAUUUUAUUAUUUAAAUUAUUGUUAUUUGAUUUAGCUAUUAGCUUAAGAGAAUAAGUCAGCCUAGAAUCAACCAACAAUCACGAUCAGUUGAGAUUGUUCUGGCUUAGUAUUGUUCUAAGUAUAAAUAAGCUCCAACAGCAAGAAUAAAAUUAUUCAGUAUCAAUUAAAUUCAAUUACUUGUGGUUAUUCUCACCCUAAGAGAAAUCUAUCUUAAUUAGCUUUGACUGGGACCACAUCAAAAGUAUACAAGUCAGAAUGCGGGUAAUAUCCGCAUGGAUUGCGACAAAUAUCCCCAAUAUCUGGAUCCGCAUAAAUUAAAAUUCAAUAAUUUAAAAUAUAAUUUACGAUUCAGCCAUUUACCUAAUUUUAUUAAAUAAAAUCCAAUCACAAUUCAAUUAUCAAUAAUUCAAUACCUAGAAUAACAUGUGACAUCAUAAAGUCACAAAUAAAAAUACCACAACAUAAAUCAAACAUCAAGAGUAACAUAAAUCAAACAUCAAGCCUAGCACCACCACAAAUUCACAAAUAAAAUUAUAAAAACACCAUAAAUCCACAUAAUAUAAUGCAGAUCCUAAUAUAUUUCUUAAUUUAAUUUAACUUCUAUAUUUUAAUUAAUCAUAUUAUAUUUUUCAUUUAACUUAUAUAUUUUAAUUUAAUUUAAUAAAUAAUUUAAUUAAAAAACUAUGCAGAUCUAGAUAUUCAAUUUUUCAAUGCAUUUGCAUACAAAUCCACACAGAUUUUAAGUUUUAGGAUUGAAUUUUCAUUUUUUUAAUGUGUGGAUACAGUUUUUCAAGAUUCGAAUCUUCCGAAUCUUUGCGGAUCUAGACUGGAUUCAAAUAUUUUUGCCAUCCCUAUGCAUUGUCAAUGCUGUAAAAACCUAUACAGUAUUAUAGAGAAAUCCUUAAAAUAAAAACUAAAAUAAGUAAUUACUUAAACAUCAUCGUUAUUCAAAUAAAUCCUUGAAAUAUAAACCAAAAUAAGCAAUAAAAGUCAAAUAUGCGCUACAACCAUGAGAUGUCCGUAAUAGCAUGCCUCCGCAGUAAUUAUUUGAUUUUCCCAAAAUACUUCCAGUGAUUUAUAUGACUAAUAAACCAAUCUUCCUUUUUCGUGAUAUUAAAGCAGGACAGGGAAUCUCUCAUUUUCACGAGCACAUAAUAAAUAUGUUGGGGAGCCUCUAAGUUACAAUAAUUGUAACAUACAUCCCUAAUGUGAACCACACAAAAUUGUAGGACCCACAAUUUAUGUGGUUCACAUGAGGGAUGUAUGUUACAAUUAUUGUAACUUAGCAUUUGCCAAUAUGUUAAUAUAAAAGUUGUCCAAUUGGAAAAGUUUAUGUUGACAAUGGUAAAAUAAUUUACACUCAAAUUUUUACUGUGUACUUGUCGUGUCGUGUCUUGUAUUAUGCCAUGUGCUAUUUGACCCUUAGUUAUCUCUAAUCACAGUGAUAAUUUUAGAAAAUUAUUGGCAUUAUUAUAGCCCCAUCUUGUAAGCCUCGUUUUCUGUAAUUGUAAUUAGGGGUGGCAAAAGGAAUAAACGAAUCGAAUCGUAAACGAAUUGGGUCAAAAUUCUAUGGAUUCGAAUUCGAUUCGUUUAUUAAAUGAAUUGAAAUUUCAGGAUUCGGAUUCGAUUCGUUUAUUAAACGAAUAUUCGGUUCGAUUCGUUUAAUUCGUUUAAUAGAAUUGAUAAACGAAUCGAAUCGAAUCCGGAUUCGUUUAUCCUUUACGAAUCCAUAACGAAUCAAAUCGAAUCAGGAUUCGUUUACAAUUCGUUUAGAAAAAUAUAAUUAAGAAACAAAAUUAAGCAAAAAAAACACAAAUUUAAUAUCCCACAACAAAAUACAAAUAAUUCAAAUCAUAUUAUACAGUCAUCCAAAUACCAAAUACCAAAUCCUUAAUAUUACAAAUAACAAUAAUUCAAAUUCAAAUUAUAAAGAAAUGUAAUUUCUUUAAUUCUCUUCAUUUGUCUUUGUCACCUUGAAAACAAAAAUCCUACACCAAAAAGUAAAUAAAAUGUUAUUAACAUGCUGCAAUAUUGAUAAUAGUCAUAGUAAAAUUUCAAAAAUCAAAUAUAUAGCAAAUUUGUAGCAUUUUCAAGGAAAUAAUAAUUAAACAAGAUAAAAACUUUACCUAACACACUCACACACUGUCAUUUGGAGCAUUUGCACUCUCUACAGAUGGAGCACAAUUAGUGCUCAUGUUCAUAAACUAAUAAAUCAAAGAAAAAGUCUAACAGAGAAAUUAACAUACAUAAUCACUUUCAAGCACCAUUACCAAGACCACGAGCCGAUUCAUCAUGUAUGCCAAAUUCUAACCCGGCAAUAUUCCUAAUGCACAAUAUUCCAAUGCACAAAAUAUUAACAAUACAACAUAAUAAAUUAUAAAUUCUAAUACUAAAAAAACAAUUAAUCCAAUAUUUGUGGGGGCUUCUUCCUCAUCCUACAGAUAAUUUUUAACACCAUAAUCGAUUUAUACAUAAUUUCAUAAUAUUUUCCAAACAAUACAAAACAUUUUCUAAACCAUAAUCUCAUAAUAUUCUACAAUACAAAAUUUCUCAAUAAUUCAACCAUAAUCUCAUGCUAUUACCCUGAGUUGGUGAUGGCUUGUAGAUUCGGGUCGCAGUCGCCUGGGUUUGCUGCUGCUGCACCGCCGCACGGGUUAGCUACUGCUGUGGGUUUGAGUGGCUGCUAAUACGUUGCGCAGUUAAUGCUCCUGGGUUGCUACCGAGUCGCGGGCUGCACUCGCGUGGCUGCGUCCCUCAAGCUCAAUCGACGAUAGAUGAACGAUGGUGGUUGUAAUCGUCGGUUCGCUGUGAGUUAAUGACAGUGGCUACCGGCGGCUGUUUUUGUUUCUUGAUUGCUUCACUUGGUAUGGGUGGGUGAGUGUGAUUCGUGUGAGAGAGGUAGAGAGCAACGAGAGCGGUUGAGUGAGGGGAGAAUUUUUAGGGAUUUAGCCUUUAGGUUUCCGCUACUAUUUUUUUUUUUUUGGUUAUUUUCUUAAAAUUACAAUAUUAACCUUCAAAUUUUAAAAGCCUUUCAAAUAAAUUUAAGAAUAAAAAAGUAAUUUAAUUAAACAAAUAAUAAAAUAAUUUUAAACGAAUCGACCCGUAUUCGAUUCGUUUAUGACCCAUUUAUUAAACGAAUUCUAAACGAAUAAACGAAUCCAAAUUUUCAAACCCGCAUUCGAUUCGUUUAAUUAACGAAUCGAAUCGAAUUCACCCAUUUAUUAAACAAAUCAAUUUUUUCAAACCCAAACCCAUUUAAUUCGCAUCGAAUCGAAUCGAAUAAACGAAUCCUGACCUAUAUUGCCACCCCUAACUGUAAUAGCAAAUCAAAUAAGUAGAGCCGGAACUAUGCAUGUAAAAAUAAUGAACCUCAAACUUCAAAAGAAUUUAUUAAGACCAUGCUUCUCAUCAAAAUUGGAAACAACUUUCGCCUAUUUUCUUUUUUUCUUUUGCAAAGUAAUAAAACUUAUUAUGAAUUGGAGACAUCCAGAAACCACCAAAAAUUAAAAAAAAAAUGAAUGGCAAAAGGGUGGACUAAUAAAAGUGGAUGGAAAUGAUGAUAACGAAGAGAUAACUAUUUAAGGAGUGUUCAUGAUGAUCGGCAUGUGAUCCUCUAACGUGAAAUCUAUAUAUUCAUAUAAUUCAUUUUCCUAAUAGAUAAAAAAAUUCAAGAGAAUUAAAAUUAGGGAAAGGGACACCUUUACCCUUAAAAUAUUAAAAAAAUGAUCAUAAAAGACCCUCGAGUUUUAAAAAAUUGACAACCCUUUUUUGUUCCUAAUACUCUUUAAAUAUUUAAUUAGAAAAUUGACUUUAAAUUUUUUUAAUUAAUAUAAAUAAUAUAAUAUGGCUAGUGGACUAAUAAUAUUAAAUUACUUUUAACAUUUAAAUAAUAUAAAAAGAUUUAAGUUAUUAUAUUUAUUUUAAUAAUACAUUUGUAUUUAUUAUAAUAAUUUUAGAUAAAUCUUUGGGUUAAAUAGAUUUUACAAAUAACAAAUUAUUACCCUAUCAACAGGGGCGGAUGCAGUAUGUGACCUAUGGGGGUUGUAGCCCCUGCUGGCUAAAACAAAUACUCUAAGAAUAAAAUAAAAAUUAUUUAAGAUUUCAAAUUAGUCCCCAUUAAAUCUAUUAAAAUUGACCUUAUAAAUUUAUAAACUCACAAAAUUUAAACUUUAACUUUUAGAAUUAUAAAAGCCUACACUAUAAUUAAAAAUAAUGAUAGGACAUCACCACAAAUAUUUUUUUAUUUUGGAAAAUACGUCGAGAACAAUUAUAAAUGUAUUAACAAAUAUUUUAUGCUUUCCAAGUUUUAGUUUUAAAAUUUUACUAUUAUGUAAUCUAGCCCUCGGUAAAUUAUUUUUCUAAAUCUACCACUACCUAUCAAUAAAUAUCAAAAUUGUUUUUUACAUAAUAUUCAAAAUUAUUUUAAUUUUGAUUAAUUUAUUUUAAUAUUAUGUAAUAUUUAUUAUCAAAUAUUACUUUAAUAAAAUAAAACAGGUCUAAUAGAUUGUAAAAUAUUAAAAUAUUUUUAAAAUAUUAAAAUUAUUUUAAAACAUAUAUAUUGUUACAUUUAUUUUAAUGCCAUAUUUUUAUUUGUUAUAAAAUUUUAAAUUUAAUUUUUGAAGUUUAUAGAGUCAAAGGACAUUAUGAUAAAAAAAAAAAAAUCAUGGUAUCACUUACUAAAAAUUUGGAGGACAUUUUAACAAUUUCUUUAAACCUUGAGGGUGAAGUGUCCUUUUCCCUCAGAAAUUAUUACAAAUUUACAAUGUGAUUGAAGCGCAAUGUGAUUGAAGCGUACUUGUCACUUUAACUGGAUUGAGAAAUAAAGCCCUAUGAAGCCUGAUAAUAAUUAAAUUGAGAUAUCGAAUUGAUUUGCAACUACGAAAAAGAAACCUAGCCUAAUUCAUUGCCCGUCCAUCUCCAAAUGCAAAAAAAAAAAAAAAUCCAUAAAUUCGAUUAACAUAAUUUGAAGGUAAAUAUUAUUAUUCUAAUUAAUGCUGAUCACAUCUAAUUGGCUAUGCCAAAAUUGGAACCCCGUAACUAAUUACAAACCAAUAAGUGGUAUCAGAAUAUCUCUUGCCAAAACUACACAGUAUACAUUGCUUAUAUGUGCCUACAUUAUUGUUUAUCAUUAUCUCUAAAAGGAUAAAGAAAUCCUUUGGAUAUGAAUUUUUUUUUUUUUGAUGAAAUGAAAUUUUAUUAAUCAUAAGAGAUUGUCAACAUAGGACAUAAUCACGGAGGUGGAACAUCCCUCCACUCUCCAAGACCUGAUAUAGAACCCCCCCACCCUAGCCACAUUAUGGGCAGUGACAUUCGCAGAUCUAUGCACAAAAGAUAAUCUCACUUCUCCAACUAAUUGAGCUAAGGCUUGACAAUCCGCAAUAAUUAAGCCAAAACCAUUAGGACUAUAAUAAUGAGAAACUAAAGCAGAAUAAACAUUUAAGCAAUCGAUUUCAACAAUAACUUUAGACAAUUGUAAGUUCUUUAUCCAGCUAAGGCCUUCACGAAUAGCCAAAGCCUCUGCCUCGCGAGGGUGAAACAGUCUAGAGAAACUUUGACACUUAGCAGCAACAAAGCAACCCCCAGAGUCUCUGAUCACCCCUCCAAAGUUGUAUCGACCUUGAGAACUGAAAACCCCUGCAUCCACAUUACACUUCAACCAACCUAGAGGAGGUUUACCCCAACACACCGAGCCAUGGCCUAACUGAACUUGCUCAAUUAUAAUGAAAUUCUUCCUCUUAGCCUCUUGCCACUGGAAAAGAUAAUGCCCUGCAACAUUCACUAGGCUUUUGGCACGCCCAUUAUGACCAUUCCACACUUUGUCAUUUCUAUUAAGCCAAAGCUUCCAACAUACCAUUACAGCCAAAGUGCACUCUUUCUUGCGACAUUUGAUAAAGAUUUGCUCAAUGCAAUCAAAGAAGGAAGAGCAUCUCCUUCCCGUUCCAAGCGAGGACAGUAACUAACAAGAUUGGGCAAACAAACAUUCCACCAGACAAUGAUAAACAUAUUCAUUGGCAGCACUACAUAUAGGGCAAAUUAGGAAGACAUCAACCUUUCGAGAGAGCAAGUUAUCCGCAGUUGGCAAGACAUUUAUCAAAGCACGCCAAAUAAAGUGUUUAACCUUGCCUGGAACCUCCAGCCUCCAUAAGAACUUCCACACCUUACUAUUGGAACCAUUUGGAGCAGAGUUCAACACAUUAUAACAGCUUCUGACAGUGAACUUGCCUUUUGUAUCAGCAAGCCAAAACCAGCGAUCGUCAUCUUCUCGAGUGCUAAGAGGUACCUGUAGAAUCAAUGCAGCAUCCCUUGUAUUGAAAAUAUCCGCAACUAAGUCGUUAUCCCAUUGCCUUUGACCCGGAACCAUAAGACUAUUUACCAUAGUUGUUGCAAGACUGUCAUCCAGAACAGUAGUGAUGAAUCCAUUAUCCGCAUCGGGAAGCCAAGGGUCCUUAUUGAUUUGAAUCUGUUGUCCACUCCCAAUUUGUAUACGACUGCCCUUCACCACAACAUGCUUGGCAGCCAUGAUUAAUCUCCAAGUGUAGCUAGGGUUGAAACCCACGGUUGCAUCAGUAAAUGAAGACCGAGGAUAGUAUCUAGCCUUAAGUAUCCGAGCUACAAGAGAGUGCAGAUGGGUCAUAAGUUUCCAACAUUGUUUGCCUAACAUAGCAAAAUUAAAGUCAUGAAUCCUUUUAAAAUCAAUACCCCCAACUGACUUUGGUUUACCCAAUAAGUCCCAUCGAAGCCAACGAAUUCCUUGGCCACCCUGCCGAUUUUUUCCCCACCAAAAGGAGUUCAUCAUAAUCUCCAACUCUUUAGAGGUAACAAAUAGAUAUUCAUGGCAUAAUUCAUAAUUGCUUGGGCUACUGUUUUCAGCAUAAUUUCCUUCCCCGCCCUGCUUAGAAGUUUCUGAUUCUAGCCUUGAAUCCGCAACCAAACCCUCUCUUUGAUAAAGCUAAAAACAUCGCUUUUCUUCCUUCCUAUCAGAGAUGGCAGUCCCAAGUAGGUUCCAUGAGUACUUGUAGCAGAGACUUCCAGGAUUCCACACACUUGGCGUAGAGAAGCCUUAUCCACAUUUGCACUGAAAGAGAGCACAGAUUUAUUAUAGUUUACAUGUUGCCCAAAUGCAGCCCCAUAAAUAGCCAGCAGACUCUUCAUAAUGCGAGCUUCAGUGUGAUUAGCUUUAAAAAAUAAGAGGCAAUCAUUCGCAAAGAACAAAUGAGAAACCGCAGGGGUACUCCUAGCCACUUUAACCCCAUGAAUUAACCCUGCCCUUUCACGAUUUCGAAUCAAAGAACUAAGCCCUUCUACACAAAUAAUAAAUAAGUAAGGUGACAGCGGAUCCCCUUGCCGAAGCCCCCGACUCGGAAUUAUCGGCCCCACUUCCACCCCAUUUCUAAUCACUUGAUAGCUUACUGUAGAUACACAUAGCAUAAUGAGCUCAACCCAACCUUUCGCAAAUCCCAUCCGCAACAUCAUAAACUUCAGAAAAUUCCAUUCAACGUGAUCAUAUGCUUUAGACAUGUCGAUCUUAAGUGCCGCAACCCCAACCUUUCCUUGUUUCUUCCGCUUCAGAUAGUGGACAAUUUCGGUGGAGAUAAGGAUGUUGUCAGUGAUCGCUCUGCCCGGAACAAAUGCGCUCUGCGAUUCGGAAAUAAUCGAAUCCAAAACCAGUUUCACUUUGGAUAUGAAUUUUAAAAUCCAAUUAAAGAUGCUUACAACCAACCAUAUAUAUCUAGAUCCUUGCCACUAAAAUAUCCCAAGCGAGCAAGCAAACCCAUUAUUGAAAUUAUAAAUAGCACCCUUAGACACUUUUUAUCUCUUUCAAACUAUACCAACUUCUUGAAAUAAUGGAGAAAACAAGUCAACUUAAAUUGGCUGCUUGCUUUUUAGUUUUUCUGAUAAUUGCUUCUUCUAGUAAAUAUUACUUUUAUCUCCUUUACUCAUAUUUAAAGUUUUAUGAGUUUUCCAUUCCAGCUACUUCUUGCAAAAUUAGUACAAAAAAAAAUGAUACUUCUUGCAAAAAAAAAUUAUAAAAACUUCUAUUUCUUCUUUUAAAUAAUUUACUCAUUCGACAAUUGGAAAGCUCAUAUUCAAUAUUAGUGAGAAGUUUAACUCAUGAAAUGCUUUAAAAGAAUUUGAUUUAGGUUUAUGCAAAGGAGCAGAAGCGAUAAACAUUGGGAAUUGCAAAGAUGACAAAGAUUGCGACCAAUUUUGUACACCUCCCGGUUUUGGUAUAUGCAAGUUUGCGUAUAGUUACUAUCGUGGAGGAAAGUUUUGCUGAGCACAAAUUCUCUCCUAGUCAUCACUAGAAAAAGUGACAAUCAUUUGUAUUUGAUAAUAAUAUUUUGAACAUCAACAUUUAUUAAUAAUGAAUAAUUUGUUUUAUAUAUUUAUGGUUCAUCACUGUUAUUGAGAAUGUAUCGCUUUGAAUAUUAAACCCAACUUCAUAUUAAAAUAUUUCUGGGCUGAUUUUAUCAUUUUACUAUUUUACUUUUGAUUAAGUAAAAUAAGUAAAAUAGUGCAAACAAAAAGAAAAUCCAAAAGACUUCAAAAAAAAAAAUUACAUUUAUAGCAUAUCAUGUUAGAAAAUUAACUUUCGGUAAAAACUAUCACCUAAACUCUAAGGACAUUCAUGUUGUAUCACCAAAUAAUUAACAAACGAAUAUGCAAAAACGUACCUAAAGCAUAAUACUCAAUUGCUUUCUAGAGUCGUGUGGCUUGUCUCCUAGAUCAACCCAAUAUCCUAGAGAACCUCUUAAAUUUCUCUCUGCACUUUCUCUAAUGAUGUGAUGUCAGAAAAGUAUAGAAUGAUACAUGUAACAUGAGGAUCAUAACCACUUAUAUAAAUAACUUUUCCUAUUAUUUUUUAAUAUUUUUAUUUUAGCCCAUUAUAGAAAUAGAAAUUAUCUUAAACACGUUUAUAUUAAAGGCCACACCCUACUAAAUACAUUAAAGUUUAAAUUAUCAAAAAAUUUAACUGAUCAUUGCUGAUUGGACUUAACGGCAAUUCACAUCACAUAAUUAUUUACGUAUACGUGUAACGUUAGAUUACAGAUCUAAUAAUAUUGGAUUAAAGAUCCAACAUAUCAUUCCAAUUGAAACUUAGCAUAGAUAAGCUGAUUGAGUUUAUGAAAUUGUAUAAAUUCAACGAUGACAAGAACGGUAUCUCUUUAAAUUAACUUAUAAUUUCAAUUUGAUUAAUAUGGAAUAACAAGUGGGCCAAAUCAUUUGAAUGAUGUUACGAAAAUCAAUUAACUAUUUUUCUUAAAACGUACAUCAGAUAAGAUAUGUACAAGGUACCACCAAGUUUGUUUUCUAUGAUGUUAAAUUUCAUUUCAUCCUUUAUUUUCAUUUUUAUUUAUAGUUUAUUUGUAAGUUUAUGCGCUUGGGCAGGUGGCCUUCUAAAAUGUAAUUUUAUUUUAUUUAAUAUUAUUUAUUUUUUAAAAAAUAAAUAUAUUAUAAUAAUAAGUCUAUGAUAAUAUUAAAUAAAAUAAAUAAAUAAUAUUAAAAAUAUUAAUGUUAAAUAAAUAUAAUAAGAAGCAUGUGACUAUAUAAUGUUAAAUAAAAUAAAAUAAAAUAAAUAAUAUUAAAAACUUAUUCUUUAAAUAAAAAUAAAUAAUAUUAAUUAAAAAUGAUAUUUAUUUUUUAAGACCCACUACUGAUUAUUUUAUUUUAUUUUAUAUUAUUUAAUUUUUUUAAAGAAUAAAUAUAAUAAUAAUUCUAUCACUAAAUAAAUGAAAAUAAAUAAUAAUAAAUAUUAUUUAUUUUAAUAAAAUAAAUAAUAUUAAAAAUAUAUUCUUUUAAAUAAAUUAAUAAUAUUAAAAUAAUAUUUAUUUUUUAAGAGUCGCUACUAAUUAAACAACAUAAAUUUGAAACAAUUUAGAGAUCUAUCUAUGUUCCACAUUUUUUUGUCUUUAUUUGGCAAAGCCAUUGCAUGCUUUAUUGUUCAAUCCAACGACUGCAAAUAAUUUUUUUUUAAAUCAAACAGCUAUCGGCUUAGGCGGUUGCUUUAUACAGUUAGGUUCUCGCCUUGCUGCCAUCCUGGAGACGUGAGAGUCAAUGGCCACCAGACACAAAAUUCGUGAGCAAUCAAUGGCGCCAGCAGGCACCAAAUUAAUGCCAAGCACGCCAACAACACCAGUUAAUGGCAAGUUCAGUGUUUUAAAGUUAGAAUUUUGACACUACUGGUUUCGCUCGCCGUCAAUUCACCACCAUCACCGAUUUGGUUGAGAAAAAUAGAUGUUUCAGAAUUUGUAAGUUAAAAGUGUAAUUAGUUAACAUUAUAAAAAAAUUGGAAUUCUGGUCCUUUUUAUAUUAAAAUGUAGAAAGUAGUUUAAUCUAUAGAAUUUCAUUAAAAUUAAAUUGAAAAAUAUAUUUAGAGUAUUAUACAAAUUCAAUAAAUUUUCAUAUGAAGUCUACUAACCCGCAAAUUAAUUUAAUUAAAAAAAUAUCCAUUAUUUAGAGAAGCAUUUGCUACCGUAUCCAAGUAUUGAAUCAUCAAAAAUCAAUCUGUUUUGGACUCUUCAAUUCAAUUUGACGACUCCACCAAAGCCACCCAACAACAACUCAAACAAUUGAAUCACUCGUCCUAAUAGCAUAACAAUCCAGUCGUCGCCUGCACGUGAGAGGCCAUUUUCUUAUUCAUGAUUGGAAUUCUUAAAUCAAUUUUACAGUUCUCCUGCACCAAUUUUCAUCUUGUACGGUGCCUCAAGAAGUGAAGAUCGAUGUCGGAAUCACUUCAGCUUCAAUUGGAUGGUGUUUGCGGUCUUAUACCAAUUUCGGUAUACAAUUGUUGUCGAAUCUUAUCUGUAUCAAAGCAACCCCCUAUGCCAUUGACCAAUAGUUGUCUGAUUUAAAAUAUAUAUAUAUAUAUAUAUAUAUAUAUAUUUGCAGCCAUUAGAUUGAACAAUAAAGCAUCCAAUGGCUCGAUCAAAUAAAGAUAAAAAAAAUGUGGUACGGUGCAACUAUUGUAACACAGGUGAAUCCACAAUCUAGACUUAUCUAUUAAAAUUUUAACUCUUUAACUUUUUGAGUUUUCAACAAAUAUUAGGAGUAUAAUGUUAAUAUUCAAAUAGACAAAUCUCUACCAUUGAAACUAUCUUUUUAUUAAAAAUCCAAUGAUGAAGGAUUGAAAUCACAUAAAAACAAAAUUGGUGGUAUCGUUCAAUUGUUGCAAGGGAGAUGAGUCCAUAAGAUAUAACGAAGAUAAUGACGAAAGAAGAAAUAUUUUGAGAGGAAAAAUAAGAGUAAAUCAUAGGGAUAAGGAUGAUAAAAUUCUCCAUGAAUUUGGAGUUCUUAUGUAGUCUCAUCCAAAUGAGAUGAAUUUUAAAUAAUUUUUGGGGAAUGAGGUGAAGAAUGAGAGAAAAAUAAUCCUCAAUUUUUUAAUGAGCUGGGAUUUAGUUUCGUAAUCUCAACUAUACCCCCCAAUCCCUAUUAUAUGUAAAUAUUCUUUUAAUUUUUAUUUAGUAAUUUUUGUUUUAUUAAUUACAAUGUUGAUUAAUAAAUUUUUUUUAUAUUUUUACCAAAUAUAAAUAAGUUAUAAUUAAAAGAAAACCCUACAAUAUAAUUCUUACUUAGCCCUAAAAUAUUGUUAUUUUUUUCUUUUUUCUAUUAAGGUGCCAUUCGCUUCAAACAAAUCAAGCCUCAUUCAUCAAGAAUUUUCAGCAAAGUUUAACAUGUUAGAAAUAUUCUAAUAUAGACUACCAGCAUAAUUGUAGCUUGAUCUUGACAUACAAAAGUAUAUGCAAUAUAUUCGUCUUUUUUUUUCCUCCUCAUAUGUUAGUUUGUUUAUAUGAUUAGGUUCUAGUUAUGGUUCUUUUACAAGAAAAUAGAUGCGACUCAUUUUAUAAAGAUAUAUGAGGUAAAGUUUUAUUUGAACGAGUUUUAUCAUCUUAUUUGUUACAAAUGUUUAGAAAUGACAUACAACAAAACAUUUCUUUAAACAAAUUUACAUUCAAAAUCUCUCCUAUGCUUGCACUGUGUUGUGUUGUGCCACAUUCUGCCCAGCCCAUUAUAGCCCCAUUUUGCAAGCCUUAUUUUCUGUAAUAGGAAAUCAGACAAGUAGAGCCGGAACUAUGCAUUUAAAAAUAAUGAAUCUCAAACUUCUAAAGAAUUUAUUAAGACCAUCCUUCUCAUCAAAAUUGGAAACAACUUUGGCCUAUUUUCUUUCUUUCUUUUGCAAAGUAAUAAAAAUUGUUAUGGAUUGGAGACAGCGAAAAACUACCCAAAAAAAAAAGAUUGGAAAAUGGGUGGAUUAAUUGAAGUGGAUGGAAAUGAUGAUAAUGAAGAGAGCUAUUUAAGGAGUUUUGACUUUUGAAGAUGAGGGCAUGUGAUCCUCUAAAGUGAAAUUUAAAUAUUCACAUGAUUCAUUUUCCUAACAGAUAAAAUGUUUCAAGAGAAUUGAAUUAUUACAAAUUUACAAUUUGAUUCAAGCAUAAUUGUCACUUUAACUUGAUUGAGAAAUAUAGUCCUACGAAGUUUGAUAAUAAUUAAAUUGAUAGAUUGAAUUGAUUUGCAAGUAAGAAAAAGAAAACUAGCCUAACUGAUUGUUGACCAAGUUUGAGUAAUGGCUCAUUGAUCACUUCGACUAGGAGAUAGGUCAUCGCCAUCCAUCUCCAAAUGAAAGAAAACCAAAAUUCGAUAAAUUCAAUUUAACAUAAUUUGAAGGUAAAUAUUAUUAUUCUAAUUAAUGUUGAUCACAUCUAAUUGCCCAUGCCAAAAUUGGAACACCAUAACCAAUUGCUUCUACAGGCCAACAAGUGGUAUCAGAAAAUCUCUUGCAUGUUAGAGUAUCUGAUGAUGCUGAUGAUAUUGUACAGUGAUGAUGAGUUGAUGAUGCUAUGUAAUGGUGCUGAUGUGGUAUUAUGCAAAGUUCAACAGAGUACGAUAGAAGAACAUGAUAAAGAUGGUGGUUUAGCAUGUGGCUUAAUAUACCAGCUGAAGAAUUAGUUAUGAUGACUUGGCAAGGUUGUUGUAACAGUUUUAGUAACAGAUUAUGUAUUCUUUAACAAUACAUGAAGAUUCCAGAAUAAUCUAGCUAUUAGAUUCUUGUAAUAAAUUUGUAAUAUAAAUAGUGUGAUCUGUACACAGUAUGAUUACAAUGCCUUGAUUAAAUAAAUACAUUUUCCUUUCACUUUCCAUUUCAUUUUCCUUAUAACCAAACACCAAAUUAGUUGUAUUCAAUCAUGGUAUCAGAGCCUUCAGCACUUUCUAAUCAAACAAAGACUUCGUAUAACUUUGUGACACCUGUGAAACUAGAUCAAAAACAACUUUAUCAUCUAGGGAACUCAAGUGUUAACUUCGAUUAAAGGCAAUGGCCUAGAGGGAUUCAUCACUGGAGAAAAUAAGUGUCUAGAUCCGUAUCUUGUUCAAGGUGAAAGUGUUGCUAGCUCCUCUAAUACUAGAUCUGGAUCAAGAAUUGAGAAUCCUACUUUUUCAACCUGGAUAAGAAAAAAUCAGCUUAUUCUCAGCUUUGCUUUCCUGCUCAAGUCUCAAUCCACCCGUCUCUCUCUUUGCUCAUUUACCUAGUUCUGAUAUGUCAAGUUGUUCUGAUGUUGUUAGUCAUAUGUCCCAUUUGAAUAAACGUAUUUGUAUUGCAGCUGCUUUGACAGUCUCAUCAAUGUCAGUAAGCAUAAAUUUACUUUACAAAAGGCUUGGUCAUCCAGCCAUUUAUACACUAAAGAGUGUUUUGAAAACAUGUAAUCCUUUUGCUGAUAUCAAUAAAGUCCAUAAACUCAAUUUUUUUCAAUGCCUAUCAGUAUGGUAAAAAUCAUCUCAAAUACUUUAGUUCUGUUGAAUCCAAAACCAGUGAACCAUUACAACUUCUGUAUGGAGACCUUGGGGACCAUCAUCUACUUCAUCCAUCCAAGGAUACAACUAUUAUCUGUCCAUUUUAGAUGAUUAUAGCAUAUUCACUUGGAUUUUUCCUUUAACAACAAAAUCUUAUGCUCUUCCUGUUUUUACCACUUUCAAAACAUUUAUAGAACAACAUUUGAAUAGGAAGAUCAAAACAGUUCAAACAGGCUGGGGAGGGGAGUUCAGGUCCUUUUCUUCUCUUAUUCUAUCUUCAGGCAUACACUUUAGGCAUCCAUGUCCUCACAUUCAUCAUCAAAAUGGUAGAAUUAAAAGGAAGCAUAUGCAUAUAGUUGAUGUUGGCGUUACAUUGUCAGCUCAAGCUAAACUUUUCUUAAUUUUUUGGUGGAAUUCCUUUUAGACUUUUUCAUCAACAACCUGACUAUAAUAGUUAAAGAGUGUUUGGUUGUUCCUAUUUUCCCUAUCUUAGACCAUACGACAAACAUAAACUUGAAUUCAGAACAGAGAGGUGUGUUUUUAUUGGCUACAGGCCACAUCACAAGGUCUAUCAAUGUUUACAUUCAUCAGGAAAGGUGUAUAUCUCAAAUCAUGUUGUGUUUGAUGAAAAUUCUUUUCCUUAUCAGCUUGGUGUUGAUUUUUCUUCUAUUCAAGAGUCUUGUUCUUCUCAGUCCACUUCAUCUUCUCACUCAGCUACAGAAACUUCAUCUUCUAUGAUGCAAGCCUUCUUAGCACCUUCUUCAACAAGUAAUCUCUUAGCCUCCUCUUCAUCACAGGUAUCACAUUCACUUUCUCUUGUUGAUUUACCAGUAGUUUCAUUUUCUAAUCAAUCUGAACACUCAUCUCCAACAAAUAAUACUUCAUUAAAUAAUGCUCUUCCUAGAUCACCCACUUUGCCACACAAUCUUCCUUUGCCUCAACCACUUGGACACCCCAUGAUUACCAGAUGAAAGGCUGGUAUCUUUAAACCAAAAAUAUAUUUAGCAGCAUUGCUUUCUACUCCCAUAGAACCAACCUCUGUUAGUUAAGCCUUAUCAGAUCCAAAGUGGUUUAAAGUAAUGAAGGGAGAAUAUGAAUCCUUGCAAGCUAACAAGACUUGGAUUCUAGCUAAGCUUUUUUUUCCUGUCAAAGUUAUAGGUAACAAGUGGGUAUUUUGAAUUAAGUACAAUCUCGAUGGCUCUAUUUCUAGAUAUAAGGCUCGAUUUGUAGCAAAAGGUUUCUCUCAAACUCAAGGGGCAGAUUAUAAUGAAACUUUCAUCCCAGUUGUUAAAGCUUCCACUGUGAGGAUUGUUCUUAGCCUAGCUGUGAUGAACAGAUGAAUUAUUAGACAAGUGGAUGUCAAUAAUGCAUUUCUAAAUGCCUUUCUUGAAGAAGGUGUGUAUAUGAAUAAGCCUGAAGGAUUUAUUGAUUCUUCUAAAGCACAUUAUGUCUACAAGCUCACCAAAGCUCUCUAUGGCCUGAAAUAAGCACUAAGGGCUUGGUUUGAUAGAUUUAAAACAGCAAUGAUUCAUCAAUGGCAUUUCAUUAACAGCAAGUCAAAUUCCUCUCUGUUAUAUAAGUGGCAUGGUGGUCAUGUUUUGCUGGUUUUGGUUUAUGUAGAUGACAUAAUCAGUACUGGUUCUAAUUCAGAUAUGAUCCUUCAAGUUAUUUCUAAUAUGCAAGCUACAUUUGCUCUAAAGGACUUGUGAGAGCUCAACUAUUUUUUAGGCAUCUAGGUUACAAAAAACAGAAAAAGGUAUCAGCUUAUCUCAAGCCAAAUAUAUUGCAGACCUAUUAGCUAAGCAUCAUAUGGAUAAAUGUAGCCCUUGUUCAACACCUUUGUCUACCUGUUCCAAGCUUAUCAAAAAUUCAGGUGCUACCAUUGACAACAAAUUGAUAUUGCAUUUUCAGUCAACAAAUUGAGUCAGUUUCUUUCUAAUCCCUUUGAUGAUCAUUGGCAAGCUUGCAAGUGUUUAUUAAGCUAUCUCAAGGGCACCAUUCAUUUUGGUUUUAGAGUUUUAUCACAGUGGUGAUUUACAGCUUAAUUAUUUUACUGAUGCAGAUUGGCUUGUGAUAAAGAUGAUAGGAAAUCUGUUGCUGGGUAUGCUGUAUUUCUAGGUUCAAAUUUAGUCUCCUGGUCAUCUAAAAAAGUAGCAUGCAGUUUCUCGUUCCAGAACAGAAUCUGAGUAUAGAGCAUUGGCAUCAGCUACCUCGUAAGUGUUAUGGAUUCAGGCUUUACUCGCAUAGUUGAAGCUCAAAUCAGUAGUUAUGCCUCUUAUGUGGUGUGAUAAUCAAGGGGCCAUAGCUCUUGCUAAUAACCUAAUGUAUCAUGCCAAGACUAAGCAUGUUGAAUUGGAUAUUCAUUUUCUUAGAGAGGAGGUGUCAGCUAAGCAACUUGAUAUAUGUUAUAUUCCUAGUGUUGAUCGAACUGCAAACAUUUUCACUAAAGCUCUUCCUUAUAGUCAUUUUCAUUAUCUUAGAUGCAAAUUUAAUGUUCUUCCUGGAACAUUUUGCUUGAGGGGGGAUGUUAGAGUAUCUGAUGAUGCUAAUGAUAUUGUACGAUGAUGAUGAACUGAUGAUGCUAUGUAGUGGUGAUGAUGUGGUAUUAUGCAGAGUUCAUAGAGUAUGAUAGAAGAAGG